AUGGGCCGCCUGGAUGACCACGCCAAGAAGAGGAUCGUGGAGCUGCGCAAAGCCGGGCUGAGCUUUCGCAAGAUCAAGAAAGUCCUAGAGCUGGACAACAUCCGGGUGACCCCGCAGGCGGUGUACCUCUUCCUCAAGCGGAAGAACGUGGAGCCCGGCCGGCCGGCGGGAGCCGUGCUGCCCCAGCCGGCGGGCGACGGGGCGCAGCGCAAGGCAGGGGCCGGCCAGGCGGGCUGGGAGGACGAGCAGCUCUGGACCAUGCUCCAGGAAAAUGAGCCCGAGCAGGACGAGCAGGAAGCGGCGGGUCCCAAGGCCCCCGUGCUGCCCGGCGGAGGUGCCGCGGGCAGCGAGGGGCCCUGCCUCAGCGACAGCCGAGACAGCAAGGACGGCAUCAAGAUCGUCAGCGUGACCUCGCUCUGCAAGGAUGGCGGGCAGUUUGGGAAGCCUGUGCCCAUGGGACUGUCUUCAGGGACCCAAGUGGCCCCCGGGAACAGUGACGACUGCUCCGUGAACCGAUCGAGCGCUCCGGGGAGCUGCCCAGCUCUCCUGCCCCCAGCGGUCCCCCAGCAGCCACUGCCCAACCGAGGGAGGCUCUUCGUGCCCCCCGCCAGGAACCCAGCCCUGAUCGUAAAGAAGAAGAUUGUGGAUAGGGCUAUUCUCCUCCAGAAAAAGGUCAACAUUCAGAAUGGGCAGAGUCUGUCUGGCUCCACGACUGUCCUGCCUUUCCUGGUGGGAGUGCAGCCGGCCGGCCAGCCCCUGCAGCCAAGCCCAGCUGUCCUGACCACUGCAGUGAGCCACUGUGCAAAUGUCAAAGAUGCCAGCACUCAAACUGUCCUGCUGAACGUUGCGGGUCCUGGAAACCAGAACCUUGCAUGGGGGGGACCAAUGCUUCCCCCUGCUCCCAGCCCACACGCUGUUGCCGAAAAGCUGGAUGCUGUACACACAGAGAUCCAGAAACUGAGUCAGGCGAUGCACGCGGUCCUGGAGAGGCAAUGCCGCCUGGAGCGCCAGCAGGAGCACCAGCAGCGGCUGCAGCAGGAGAUGCUGAUGACGCUGCAGCAGCUCAGCUCCACAGUGAGCCACGGGACUGUGCCAGGAAACCAGCCCUGCGUCCCCUUCAGCGGCAUGGCCGAGCCCUCGCCCGCUGUGCCAAACUUCAGCCAGUUCAAGAUGGAACUCAUCUGACCUUGCGUGAUGCCGAAGUGCAGGRCUGAAGCGAGAGCAGGGAGGGAUGCCACUGUGGAAGGAUAAAAGYCAUGAAGAAGAGCAGGCUCUAAUGCUUCAGAAGCUGUAUCAGCUGCCUCAGGAUUAUGUCUGGCAUCCGGCAGAGGAAGGUCACUGCUGCAUCRCGUCUCACUCUGCUUCAGCCUUGUCGACUAAGAGGAGCUGCCUGGCAUAAGAGACAGGGCAAUAGAAAGCUGAAGCCUCACUUCUCCCACGCUGCCCAUGCUGGCUGGUACUGGAGUUGGCCAGUUGCCGAUGGACUUCAGCAGCUCAGACAGGCCGGCUACAAGUAGAGGUCAACYAGGAGGGACGCAGCAGGGAGACAGGUCCCCAGGAACAACAUGAGACUUGCUCUCAUGGGAGUUGGUAUUGUGACAGUCAAUCACACGAAUGCUUUGUACCCUCCCCCUGCAGAGCCUUGUUCAGUAAAAAUCUACAUAUGCUGUGGUUCAGAAAAGUGUGGGAUCUCUUCCUCCAUUUUACCUACACAUCCCUCCAGCAGCAACCAGGCUGGAUAGAUUUGAGGCUGCUCUAGCUGCUACCAUGCACAGAGCUGCUCAGGGUGGUCAAGCCUAUGAAGUGAGACCACCACUCUGUACACUGAGGACAUUCCUGGAGGCAUGGCAUCGGCCACCACACAGUUAGGGCUAAACCUCUCUUGUGUAGGAAACAGAUUCUUCAGCCAAGCAGCUCCCAGCCAGGUCACCCUCCCUGCCCCCAAAUUCCCAGCAAAUCUGGAGUCUGGCACGAGCCUUUGCUCCUGUUCAGUGUCCGGCCAGAGCACAGGCUGCGGUCGGAGUCUCACAGGACUGAGUGUUUAAAGGGAUAUGAACUGAGUUGUAUGCUGACAGAAGUCAUGUAUUUGUCUCUCCUCAAACCUUUUCUUCUGUAACUGGCCAGGAUGUCCUCUUGGCUUUGAUUCCCAGCAGUAAGACCUCUCACCUGUAGCGGGCUGCCGAUG
This 2185-nucleotide long non-coding RNA is filed under the name Dromaius novaehollandiae (emu). Its description in RNAcentral is "lncRNA (ENSDNVG00000006258.1)". The record is from RNAcentral. Lineage: Eukaryota; Metazoa; Chordata; Aves; Casuariiformes; Dromaiidae.